RNAcentral lists this small RNA (116 nucleotides) under Halopseudomonas pachastrellae. Lineage: Bacteria; Pseudomonadati; Pseudomonadota; Gammaproteobacteria; Pseudomonadales; Pseudomonadaceae. The record is from RNAcentral.
CUAGGAGCAUCGCAGGAAGCGACCAAAACAACAGGGAACAGGAACAGUGCCUUGGAGGCACCACGCAUUAGGGAUGAUCAGGACUAUUCUGCAAAACCUCGCCUCGGCGAGGUUUU